CCUACGGGAGGCAGCAGUGAGGAAUAUUGGUCAAUGGGCGCGAGCCUGAACCAGCCAAGUCGCGUGAGGGAAGACGGUCCUAUGGAUUGUAAACCUCUUUUGUCGGGGAGCAAAAGACGCCACGUGUGGCGUUCUGAGUGUACCCGAAGAAAAAGCAUCGGCUAACUCCGGACCAGCAGCCGCGGUAGUACGGAGGAUGCGAGCUUUGUCCGGAUUUAUUGGGUUUAAGGGGUGCGCAGGCGGAAGAUCAAGUCAGCGGUAAAAUUGAGAGGCUCAACCUCUUCGAGCCGUUGAAACUGGUUUUCUUGAGUGAGCGAGAGGUAUGCGGAAUGCGUGGUGUAGCGGUGAAAUGCAUAGAUAUCACGCAGAACUCCGAUUGCGAAGGCAGCAUACCGGCGCUCAACUGACGCUCAUGCACGAAAGUGUGGGUAUCGAACAGGAUUAGAUACCCCAGUAGUC
RNAcentral lists this ribosomal RNA (459 nucleotides) under uncultured bacterium. RNAcentral describes it as "partial 16S ribosomal RNA". It matches the Rfam family "Bacterial small subunit ribosomal RNA", at positions 338 to 795 of the family's 1533-position model. The record is from RNAcentral.